RNAcentral lists this ribosomal RNA (253 nucleotides) under uncultured bacterium. Its description in RNAcentral is "partial 16S ribosomal RNA". It matches the Rfam family "Bacterial small subunit ribosomal RNA", at positions 524 to 776 of the family's 1533-position model. The record is from RNAcentral.
UACGUAGGGUGCGAGCGUUGUCCGGAAUUAUUGGGCGUAAAGGGCUCGUAGGCGGUUUGUCGCGUCGGGAGUGAAAACCUCGGGCUUAACUCGGGGCUUGCUUUCGAUACGGGCAGACUGGAGGUAUGCAGGGGAGAACGGAAUUCCUGGUGUAGCGGUGAAAUGCGCAGAUAUCAGGAAGAACACCAAUGGCGAAAGCAGCUCUCUGGGACGGUACUGACGCUGAGACGCGAAAGCGUGGGGAGCGAACAGG